UACGUAGGGUGCGAGCGUUAAUCGGAAUUACUGGGCGUAAAGUGUGCGCAGGCGGCCGCGCAAGUCGAGUGUGAAAUCCCCGGGCUUAACUUGGGAAUUGCGCUCGAAACUACGUGGCUGGAGUGUGGCAGAGGAAGGUGGAAUUCCACGUGUAGCGGUGAAAUGCGUAGAGAUGUGGAGGAACACCUGUGGCGAAAGCGGCUCACUGGACCAUAACUGACGC
Molecule: ribosomal RNA, 223 nt
Filed under: uncultured prokaryote
Description: partial 16S ribosomal RNA
Rfam family: Bacterial small subunit ribosomal RNA
Source: RNAcentral